Molecule: ribosomal RNA, 466 nt
Filed under: uncultured bacterium
Lineage: Bacteria
Description: partial 16S ribosomal RNA
Rfam family: Bacterial small subunit ribosomal RNA
Source: RNAcentral
GAACGCUGGCGGCGUGCUUAACACAUGCAAGUCGAACGGACAGGCCCUGCUUGCAGGGUGCUCGAGUGGCGAACGGGUGAGUAACACGUGGGUGAUCUGCCCCUUACUUUGGGAUAAGCCUGGGAAACUGGGUCUAAUACUGGAUAGGACCAUGCUGUAGGUGGUGUGGUGGAAAGAUUAGUUUCGGUAAGGGAUGAGCUCGCGGCCUAUCAGCUUGUUGGUGGGGUAAUGGCCUACCAAGGCGUCGACGGGUAGCCGGCCUGAGAGGGUGGACGGCCACAUUGGGACUGAGAUACGGCCCAGACUCCUACGGGAGGCAGCAGUGGGGAAUAUUGCACAAUGGGCGCAAGCCUGAUGCAGCGACGCCGCGUGGGGGAUGACGGCCUUCGGGUUGUAAACUCCUUUCAGCCAUGACGAAGCCCUUGUGGUGACGGUAGUGGUAGAAGAAGCACCGGCUAACUACGUG